Carica papaya (papaya) is the source of this 870-nucleotide non-coding RNA. The record is from RefSeq and is a predicted model, not a curated record. NCBI's taxonomy places the organism in Eukaryota, Viridiplantae, Streptophyta, Magnoliopsida, Brassicales, Caricaceae.
GUAGCAACUAAUGAUGUGCAGGGGGUGGAUCAACUACAUACUGCCAUUGAUUUUUGUCUUCUUUGCGAUCAUCAUGCUCUGGCGCAGGCAUUUUAACAGAGGGAAGCCAUUGGAAGCCUUCAAAAUUAAACCUCCACCAAAUAAAAAUGCAGUUGACAGCUGCUGACACUACAGGAAGCCAUUAGUCAGUUUGAAUCAUUAAUCCAAGCUGGGAAUAUCAUUCUUUUGAAGAUAAGAGCCAUUUUAUUUGCAGUACUACCACAGGCCACUGAAAGGGUUGCUUUUCUAUUGGUCUUCAUGGCUGCUAGCAUUGCAUUUGUUCCCUUCAGAUACUUAGUUCUGUCAAUAUUCUUGGAGGCUUUCACAAGGGAAUUUCCAUACAGAAAAGAAAGCAGUGACAGGGUGCUGAGACGCAUAAGAGAAUGGUGGGUUGGAAUACCAGCAGCUCCUGUUCAGCUCAUUAGAUCUGAUGAGAAGAAAAAGAAAUGAUUAAUGCUGCAAAGCACAUUCAUCUUUAAAUUGGUGUCACAAUGGAAAGCAAAAAUUGUCUCUAUAUCUUAUCCUUGACACUAGGCCUCCAGGUACAUUUAUCCUUGCAAUGGCUGCCACCAGAUCAUUUACCACAUCACUGUAUCUCCAAAAUCCUGCUGCUAAGGUGUGUCUUGGCAUUGAGUAAAAUUCCAAAUCGUAGUUUACUCCACUAAGCAUGGAGUAUGGCUAAAAUCAAACAAGGGCUGUUGGUUCGUACUCGAGCAUUUUCUUAAAACUACAUAGUAUGCAAACGAUCCUUUAGGUUAACUUGGACCCUUGCCCUUGUUUGACCAAAUAACUAAGCAAUAGAUUGAUGUGAUACUACUUUUAUUUUUGCCA